GUUCGGGGCCCUGAUGAGGUUGGGCGAGUUCGCCCUGUCCCGACCGUCGUCGUCGUCCCCGUCGGGCUGUCAGCCCUUCUUUCCGAUGCAGGCAAGACGACGAGAGUUCGCCGUUUUCCUUCUUCGUUCCAGCAGUUGAGGCUGAACUUAUGAAGGAAAUGGAGGGAUUUAAGCCUAGGCUUACCUCUGGCAGCACAAUGAAUCUCCCUUUUCGUUUGAUUGCCGAUGCGCCAAUGAAGAAAAUGAGAGGAAUGCUAGCUUAAAAAGAGAUUAUAUGAGAAGGAGUUGUUGGUUGAUGGGAGUUGAUAUUAAAAGAGGGCGGCUGAAGAGAUGGGGAACAAGGGUGGUGGGCAGCACACUCAUUUUCUUUCUCUCAACUUUAAUGAUUUUUAUGGUAGUGGUGGGGAGGUAAGAGUGAGUGGAAAUUGAAGGGGAUUGGAGGCUGCUGCAGAUUUUGCACAGCCCCACACAUUUCAUAUCUCUCUAUCUUCUUUUCUUUUAUUGACUUUUCUUCCUUUGAUUGUUAAUACUUUAGUGAGUGGCAGUAAGUGGCCACGUAGAGUACAAAAUCUUUGUGAUAUACUAGACGAUUUUCCCCAAGCUGAGAACUAGCCUGUAAUCUGUGAACUGUAAAUAAAAUACUGGCUUCUAUUCUCUAUCAUCCGUUAUUGUAUCUGUU
This is a long non-coding RNA of Salvia miltiorrhiza (redroot sage), 679 nucleotides long. RefSeq lists it as uncharacterized. NCBI's taxonomy places the organism in Eukaryota, Viridiplantae, Streptophyta, Magnoliopsida, Lamiales, Lamiaceae. The transcript is spliced from 2 exons. The record is from RefSeq and is a predicted model, not a curated record.